UGGACCGUGAUUAUUGCAAUAUCAGGAGGUGAGGUCUACAACUCUGUAACAUGUGGCGACAACUAAUCCUAACGUUAUGCGUAAUUUCUUCAAGGUCUGGUUUUGGAAAAACCGAGAGCGUUUGCUCAAACAUCGGCAACUUUGCAGAGAUUACUACAGAUAGAAAUCUGAAGCUACCUUACACCGAAAGUUUCAAAAUGUCAUCUGUGACAUUAUUGCAGUGUGUGCGGAGAUGCCUUGGGUGGACCCUGUGCAAGUCGAUUGACUUCAAUAUUCCAAACUUUGACUGUUUUCUAAACAAACUCAAUGCUUCUGAUGUACAUCCCGCUGAUUUGAGAAUCCACACAGGAUUUGUACAUAGUUCCAUUUCAAUGUGGUCGAGGACGUAUGCUGGCUUAUGCUU
Long non-coding RNA from Haliotis rubra (blacklip abalone), 403 nucleotides. RefSeq lists it as uncharacterized. The record is from RefSeq and is a predicted model, not a curated record. NCBI's taxonomy places the organism in Eukaryota, Metazoa, Mollusca, Gastropoda, Lepetellida, Haliotidae. The transcript is spliced from 2 exons.